This 468-nucleotide ribosomal RNA is filed under the name uncultured bacterium. RNAcentral describes it as "partial 16S ribosomal RNA". It matches the Rfam family "Bacterial small subunit ribosomal RNA", at positions 28 to 507 of the family's 1533-position model. The record is from RNAcentral.
GACGAACGCUGGCGGCGUGCUUAACACAUGCAAGUCGAACGGAAAGGCCCUGCUUUUGUUGGGUGCUCGAGUGGCGAACGGGUGAGUAACACGUGAGUAACCUGCCCUUGACUUUGGGAUAACUUCAGGAAACUGGGGCUAUUACCGGAUAUGAUCUCCUGCUGCAUGUUGGUGGUUGGAAAGUUUCGGCGGUUGGGGAUGGUCUCGCGGCUUAUCGGCUUGUUAGUGUGGUAGUGGCUUACCAAGGCUUUGACGGGUAGCCGGCCUGAGAGGGUGACCGGGGACAAGGGGACUAAGAGAGGGAGCAGAAGGCUACGGGAGGCAGCGGGGGAGAAUAUGGCAGAACGGGGGGAAGUCAGAGACAGAAGCGCUGGGUGCGGAAUGACGGCCUUCGGGGGAUAAACAGAUGUCGAAGGUGACGAGGAGGGAGUGACGGUAAUGGGUAAAGAAGCAACGGCUAACUACGUG